RNAcentral lists this ribosomal RNA (253 nucleotides) under uncultured bacterium. RNAcentral describes it as "partial 16S ribosomal RNA". It matches the Rfam family "Bacterial small subunit ribosomal RNA", at positions 524 to 776 of the family's 1533-position model. The record is from RNAcentral.
UACGGAGGGUGCGAGCGUUGUCCGGAAUCACUGGGCGUAAAGGGCGCGUAGGCGGCUCAUGAAGGCUGUGGUGAAAGUCCGGGGCUCAACCUCGGAUCGGCCGUGGCGACUCGUGGGCUGGAGCACUGUAGAGGCGGGUGGAAUUCCGGGUGUAGCAGUGAAAUGCGUAGAGAUGUGGAGGAACACCGAUGGCGAAGGCAGCCCCCUGGGUUAACACUGACGCUCAGGCACGAAAGCGUGGGGAGCAAACAGG